RNAcentral lists this long non-coding RNA (2966 nucleotides) under Solanum lycopersicum (tomato). RNAcentral describes it as "long non-coding RNA (SLYC_LNC000229)". Lineage: Eukaryota; Viridiplantae; Streptophyta; Magnoliopsida; Solanales; Solanaceae. The record is from RNAcentral.
UGACUUGUAAAAAUAACUUUUUACACAUGUGUAUAUAUAUAUAUAUAUAUAUAUAUACUCUUAUUUAACAUUAUCAUUUAAAUUAAUUAUCUCUUUUCAAGGGAAAUAGCUAAGGGGAUGACCUAAAGGGAUGAACUUAAGGGUUGACAAAGACCAAGAAGUAGAACAAAAACUAAGUAAAAUUAUAUGUAUAUAAAUAAAUAUAUGUAUAAAUAAAAGGAAUGUCUAUCAUAGGAAAAUAAUUAAAUCAAACCAAAAUCAGAUAAAAUAAUUAGUCAAAUGUCAUGAUAAAUAAAUAAGAAAGGGAGAAAACGUAAAAUUUGGGCCCUAGGCCCAAAUUCUGCUGCUGCAGUUUUUAGGGCCUUUAGGCCUAUUUUCUUUCCAAAGUCAUGAUACAUUUUGAGUGUAUAUUCUAUGUAUAAGCUGUGUAUAUUGACAAGUUUUGCGCUCCUGAACCUGCUAUUUCAACCAAAACUUUGUAUUUUUGCGUUUUUAAUUUCCUGGCCACGUUUUCCAACUGCAUAUUGUAUAUUCACAUUGUAUACCAGUGUAUAUGGUCUGUAUAUCGACCUAUUUUUUCGGCUUUUCGGGGACCUGCAAAUUAAUUCCCAGCAACAAAUUUGCUGAUUUUGAUCUGUACACCAGUUAUAACGGGAUGGACGACUCGGAUACGGUGGUGUGAGCCUUUACGUCUCGAUGAGAGGAUGCAAAUGGAUGAAGUAAAGUCCGUAAGGACCCAAAGAAAUUUUUUACGUGCAAGAAAAUAGAAAUGGGUUAGCAUAUGAAAUAAUAUAAGAAACAAGAUAUAUAUUAAAAGAAAGCAGAUUUUAUUUUAAAAACAAAGGAAAGCUACUUAAGGGAUUUGAAUGAAGCUAAAAUGCAUGACUCGAAGACCAAGUGAAUAGCACUAACAAAAUCUUUAAAAAAAUAAAAAACUCUCUAGACAGUAGCAUGUAUUGUGCGUGUAUGCAUACUUAAGAACAUACCAUGUUCAGGGAACAUAUAGUCCUUGGAUAAUAUUGAACUCAAAUGUAUAAAGAGAAAACAUAUUGCAUAUUUAUUCCAAUGGACCACCUAAUGCCAAUGUCAAGAUAAUUCAUUCGGUCAGAUCUGACAUUGCUAAAUCCAACCUUUUAAACAAGAGAGAAAACUAGUAAGAUCUUUUUUUUUUUUUUGCCAAACCAUUCUAAACGGAAGUAAAUAUAACUAUAAAUAAUCAAAACCAAAGGAGUUUAUUCGUCCGAGCUAACAUGUUAUGCAUAAAUGCAAAUAGACAUGAAAUAAAGUAUAGAAUGCAAGGAGAUCACUAUUAAGCAAAGACACCAUAUAAGUAGCCGAGAAAGAUGGCAAUUAAAACUAAGAUAGAUAUCUUCAAAUGUAGACCAAAGGUUGAAAAACUAUUGGUAUUUUAACUGACAACAUCCUCCAAAAAAGGUUUCUACCCCUCAAUAUAUCAAACAAUUAAUAGAUAUUUAUGAUCCAAACUGAAGUUGCGAUUUCUAAUCUAGGGAUGACAGUAUGCUGUUUUAAGAGCUUCUAAUCGAGCACUAGAUCUGGCCAACAUGCUUAUAGAGCAGAUUGAACCAAGACAAACAGAAGAGGGAAACAAAUGUCCAUUUCGGAUAAGUUUCACGAUAUUUCAAGGAGCUGACUACAAAUAAUAAGCAACUUUCGACUAACAAAUGAGCAAAACAGGGUUAAUCCCGACUCGAACAAAGUUCAUAUCAAAAUGAAGAAUGAUCUCAAACAAACUGAACUUACACGAAUUUACAGGGAUGUUUCAAAUUCAUUCAGCCUCUAAGCAUCAAAUACGAAAAUGUAGCCAACGGAAUCGAAUUAAACGACAAAUAAGCAUGGUUUUGACCUCCUUAGAAAAUAUCAACUAGACCAAAAUAAAGAACAGAGACACACAUUUUUGAAAUGUAGAUCAUGAAAUCAUUACUGAUCCAUAGCCCUUCACAAGUAAGUAGUUGAGACAGCAAGGAAAUAAGAAGAUUAAAGUAGUGCACAAGCAAGGGUUCGGGGCCAAAUGAAACAUCAAAAUUUCAAACGAGGACGUAAACACACAACCUCAUGGGCUAAUAGGCAGAUUGGUUACUGCUUUGCAGCUAAUAGUGAGUAAAAAAUUAACACAAGCAACUCACACAGUCGAUAGUCAAACGAGCAAACAUUCGGAACAAAUUAUGCUUCAAACGAGGUGAGUAUUACCUUUCGAAGUGCAGCAAAACAGGGAUAUCUAACCAGCUUUGAAAGCGCCAACUUCCGACGACUCAAAGAAAACUCCGGUGAACGAAGAAACAAGCAAGGCACUCAAACAAGGCCUAAACUCUCACUUUUUUUUUUAUUUUUGCUUCUGAGAACUUAUCCUCAAAUAAUUGCAGCUAAUAGUUUACUAUAUUUUCCUCUCAAAUUUCAACUAUUCACCAAGUAAAGUUUUCUGUCACCGAAAAAAAUUUCCCCCUUUUACAAUGAAGCGAAAGAGAAUAUACAUAGGGGUUAUUAGGGUUUGAUUUUUGGGGGAAAUUGAGUGAGGAUGGGUCCAAAUUCGAAUUUCAAAGUCCAAAUCUCUUUCACAAAUUGAGGGAGACACCGUUUCCUGACGAUUCGGCUCCAUUCCGGAAGAGGAAAGGAAACCAAAGGAUUGGAUUGACUCGAGGUCCUUGGCGAACGAUGUGUCCCCAUCUCAAGGCCACAAGGACGGAUUUGCAGCUGCUGGUACGAAAAAAGGAGAGGAACGUUGAAGAAAGGGACAAAGAACCAUCAUACUGGUCUCUACUUUGGGGCGUUAUUUUUUUGGGAAUUGUCACGCUAUUCUGCGUCUCUUUUGGGAAGAGAUUGGGGCUGGGUCGGGUCUAUGGAAUGGGCCGCGUUCAAGGGGAGUUGGGCUGACUGAAUCUGGAAAAGAAGUUGCAGGAAAUUAAUUCAAAUCAGGGUAAAAUGGGCUGACUAAAAUUUUAGGAAUGGGG